Molecule: ribosomal RNA, 724 nt
Filed under: Escherichia coli
Lineage: Bacteria; Pseudomonadati; Pseudomonadota; Gammaproteobacteria; Enterobacterales; Enterobacteriaceae
Description: partial 23S ribosomal RNA
Rfam family: Bacterial large subunit ribosomal RNA
Source: RNAcentral
AUGGAGCCGACCUUGAAAUACCACCCUUUAAUGUUUGAUGUUCUAACGUUGACCCGUAAUCCGGGUUGCGGACAGUGUCUGGUGGGUAGUUUGACUGGGGCGGUCUCCUCCUAAAGAGUAACGGAGGAGCACGAAGGUUGGCUAAUCCUGGUCGGACAUCAGGAGGUUAGUGCAAUGGCAUAAGCCAGCUUGACUGCGAGCGUGACGGCGCGAGCAGGUGCGAAAGCAGGUCAUAGUGAUCCGGUGGUUCUGAAUGGAAGGGCCAUCGCUCAACGGAUAAAAGGUACUCCGGGGAUAACAGGCUGAUACCGCCCAAGAGUUCAUAUCGACGGCGGUGUUUGGCACCUCGAUGUCGGCUCAUCACAUCCUGGGGCUGAAGUAGGUCCCAAGGGUAUGGCUGUUCGCCAUUUAAAGUGGUACGCGAGCUGGGUUUAGAACGUCGUGAGACAGUUCGGUCCCUAUCUGCCGUGGGCGCUGGAGAACUGAGGGGGGCUGCUCCUAGUACGAGAGGACCGGAGUGGACGCAUCACUGGUGUUCGGGUUGUCAUGCCAAUGGCACUGCCCGGUAGCUAAAUGCGGAAGAGAUAAGUGCUGAAAGCAUCUAAGCACGAAACUUGCCCCGAGAUGAGUUCUCCCUGACUCCUUGAGAGUCCUGAAGGAACGUUGAAGACGACGACGUUGAUAGGCCGGGUGUGUAAGCGCAGCGAUGCGUUGAGCUAACCGG